RNAcentral lists this ribosomal RNA (688 nucleotides) under uncultured eukaryote. RNAcentral's name for it is "SSU rRNA". It matches the Rfam family "Eukaryotic small subunit ribosomal RNA", at positions 624 to 1316 of the family's 1831-position model. The record is from RNAcentral.
ACGCUCGUAGUCGGAUUUCGGGGCGGGCCGACCGGUCUGCCGAUGGGUACGCACUGGUCGGCGCGUCCUUCCUUCCGGAGACCGUGCCUACUCUUAACUGAGCGGGGGCGGGAGACGGAACGUUUACUUUGAAAAAAUCAGAGUGUUUCAAGCAGGCAGCUCGCUCUUGCAUGGAUUAGCAUGGGAUAAUGAAAUAGGACUUUGGUGCUAUUUUGUUGGUUUCGAACACCGAAGUAAUGAUGAGAAGGGACAGUCAGGGGCACUCGUAUUCCGCCGAGAGAGGUGAAAUUCUCAGACCAGCGGAAGACGAACCACUGCGAAAGCAUUUGCCAGGGAUGUUUUCACUGAUCAAGAACGAAAGUUAGGGGAUCGAAGACGAUCAGAUACCGUCGUAGUCUGAACCAUAAACCAUACCGACUAGGGAUUGGGGGAUGUUCACUGAUUGACUCCCUCAGCACCUUACGGGAAACUAAAGUCUUUGGGUUCCGGGGGGAGUAUGGUCGCAAGGCUGAAACUUAAAGGAAUUGACGGAAGGGCACCACCAGGUGUGGAGCCUGCGGCUUAAUUUGACUCAACACGGGGAAACUUACCAGGUCCAGACAUGGUGAGGAUUGACAGAUUGAGAGCUCUUUCUUGAUUCAGUGGGUGGUGGUGCAUGGCCGUUCUUAGUUGGUGGAGUGAUUUGUCU